RNAcentral lists this ribosomal RNA (484 nucleotides) under Brochis robineae (bannertail catfish). RNAcentral describes it as "Corydoras robineae (bannertail catfish) partial 16S ribosomal RNA". It matches the Rfam family "Bacterial large subunit ribosomal RNA", at positions 1850 to 2543 of the family's 2925-position model. Lineage: Eukaryota; Metazoa; Chordata; Actinopteri; Siluriformes; Callichthyidae. The record is from RNAcentral.
AGGUCCUGCCUGCCCAGUGACUAUGUUAAACGGCCGCGGUAUUUUGACCGUGCAAAGGUAGCGCAAUCACUUGUCUUUUAAAUGAAGACCUGUAUGAAUGGUGGAACGAGGGCCUAACUGUCUCCCUUUUCAAGUCAAUGAAAUUGAUCUACCCGUGCAGAAGCGGGUAUACUAAUACAAGACGAGAAGACCCUUUGGAGCUUAAGAUUAAAAAUCACCUAUGUCAAAUAUUCAUCAAAUAGAACUAAAUAGCAACUGAUCAUAAUCUUCGGUUGGGGCGACCACGGAAUAAAAACAAACUUCCACAUGGACUGAGGACUAACCUUAAAACCAAGAAAGACAUUUCUAAGUCACAGAAUUUCUGACCACACAGAUCCGGCAAAUUGCCGAUCAAUGGACCAAGUUACCCUAGGGAUAACAGCGCAAUCCCCUUUUAGAGUUCCUAUCGACAAGGGGGUUUACGACCUCGAUGUUGGAUCAGGAC